RNAcentral lists this long non-coding RNA (991 nucleotides) under Homo sapiens (human). RNAcentral describes it as "HSALNT0135884". Lineage: Eukaryota; Metazoa; Chordata; Mammalia; Primates; Hominidae. The record is from RNAcentral.
GCCACGUAACGAUGAAGGCAGAGAUUAGAGUUACACAGCUGCAAACCAGCAAACUCCUGGGACCACCAGAAGCUGGAAGAGAUGACAAAGGAUUCUCCCCUAGACCCUCCAGGGGAGCAUGCUCCUGUCACCACCUUCAUGUUGGACUACUCAUCUCCAAAACUAUGGCAGAAUCAACGCCAGUUGCUUUAAGCCACUCAGUUUGUGGUAAUCUGUUACAGCAGCCUUAGAAAACCAAGACAUACCUUUAUCAUAAAAAGUGGGGAAACAUUCUUCCCUCGCCACUGUUUUGUGCAACACACAAGUGAUAGAAAAGGAAAGAGAUGAAGCCCACAAGGAGGACAAUGAAACGAAGUGAUUUGCCCAGUAUCCCACAUGCAGUGAGUAAUAAAUAACCCCAGGAUUCUAAGCCAGGUCAUUCAUUUGUUCUCCAUUUACAAAUACCCUCUUUCAUUGAUUCUAGGAUGCACUUUUUAUUUACAUUUUAACAUCUCAAAAACCAGUAUGAUGUGUUUAGUGGUUACUGUUUGUGCUUCUUAAGAGUAAAAAAUAUAAAAUUAUGUUUCUUAACAGCAGUGCUAUCUUAGAUUAGGUAGAGUACUGUAUUUAAUGAGGGUUUACCAUACUCCAGGAGCUGUGCUGGGCACUAGAAAUAAAGCUGUGAUUGGCACAGUCUUCUUUCCCACUCCUGUCGAGUUUCCAGUGUUUCCCCUGCAUCAUUAUACCAACCAGACCUAGCCUGUUGUAAAUUGCUUUCUAUUGUGUCCCAUGUGUUGGAAACAAUAGUCUUAACAAGAUUACAAGCCCAUUGCAGCACUGCAUCUAGCCGAAUUGCCUUCCCUGUAUGUAACCCGUGAUAACUUUCCUGUGUAUUUUUUUUUCUAUUUUAUUAUUAUUAUACUUUAAGUUUUAGGGUACAUGUGCACAAUGUGCAGGUUAGUUACAUAUGUAUACCUGUGCCAUGCUGGUGUGCGACACCCAUUAACUCGUC